Molecule: ribosomal RNA, 1389 nt
Filed under: uncultured bacterium
Lineage: Bacteria
Description: 16S ribosomal RNA
Rfam family: Bacterial small subunit ribosomal RNA
Source: RNAcentral
CUUACACAUGCAGUCGAGGGGCAGCGAGAGGUAGCAAUACUUUGUCGGCGACCGGCGGAAGGGUGCGUAACGCGUGAGCAACAUACCCGUACCUGGCGGAUAAGCGAUGGAAACGUCGUCUAAUACGCCAUAAGAUUGUUUAUGGCAUCAUAGAUAAUUAAAAGAUUUAUUGGGGACGGAUUGGUUCGCGAGACAUUAGCUAGUCGGCGGGGUAACGGCCCACCGAGGCGACGAUGUCUAGGGGUUCUGAGAGGAAGGUCCCCCACACUGGAACUGAGACACGGUCCAGACUCCUACGGGAGGCAGCAGUGAGGAAUAUUGGUCAAUGGGCGGAAGCCUGAACCAGCCAUGCCGCGUGCAGGAUUAAGGUCCUAUGGGUCGUAAACUGCUUUUGUGUGGGAGCAAUAAGGUCUACGCGUAGACUGAUGAGAGUACCAUACGAAUAAGCAUCGGCUAACUCCGUGCCAGCAGCCGCGGUAAUACGGAGGAUGCAAGCGUUAUCCGGAUUUAUUGGGUUUAAAGGGUGCGUAGGCGGCUACGCAAGUCAGUGGUGAAACCCUAGGGCUUAACCCUAGGCCUGCCAUUGAUACUGUAUAGCUUGAGUGCGCUUGCCGCGGGAGGAAUGUGUGGUGUAGCGGUGAAAUGCAUAGAUAUCACACAGAACACCGAUUGCGAAGGCAUCCCGCGAAGGCGCUACUGACGCUGAGGCACGAAAGCGUGGGGAUCAAACAGGAUUAGAUACCCUGGUAGUCCACGCAGUAAACGAUGAUGGCUAACCGCUGGCGUAUAGAUGUCAGUGGCCAAGCGAAAGCGAUAAGCCAUCCACCUGGGGAGUACGACCGCAAGGUUGAAACUCAAAGGAAUUGACGGGGGCCCGCACAAGCGGAGGAACAUGUGGUUUAAUUCGAUGAUACGCAGGAACCUUACCCGGGCUCGAACGGCUAGUGAACAGACUCAGAGAUGAGGAGGUCCUUCGGGACGCUAGUCGAGGUGCUGCAUGGUUGUCGUCAGCUCGUGCCGUGAGGUGUCGGCUCAAGUGCCAUAACGAGCGCAACCCUUGCCGCCAGUUACCAUCAAGUAGAGUUGGGGACUCUGGCGGGACUGCCACCGCAAGGUGAGAGGAGGGGGGGGAUGACGUCAAAUCAGCACGGCCCUUACGUCCGGGGCGACACACGUGUUACAAUGGCGGUCACAGAGGGAAGCUACCCCUGCGAGGGGAUGCAGAUCUCGAAAAGCCGUCUCAGUUCGGAUCGGAGUCUGCAACUCGACUCCGUGAAGCUGGAUUCGCUAGUAAUCGCGCAUCAGCCAUGGCGCGGUGAAUACGUUCCCGGGCCUUGUACACACCGCCCGUCAAGCCAUGAAAGCCGGGGGUGCCUGAAGUUCGUGACC